ACUCCUACGGGAGGCAGCAGUGGGGAAUAUUGCACAAUGGGCGCAAGCCUGAUGCGGCCAUGCCGCGUGUGUGAAGAAGGCCUUCGGGUUGUAAAGCACUUUCAGUCGUGAGGAAGGUAGUGUAGUUAAUAGCUGCAUUAUUUGACGUUAGCGACAGAAGAAGCACCGGCUAACUCCGUGCCAGCAGCCGCGGUAAUACGGAGGGUGCGAGCGUUAAUCGGAAUUACUGGGCGUAAAGCGCAUGCAGGUGGUUUGUUAAGUCAGAUGUGAAAGCCCGGGGCUCAACCUCGGAAUUGCAUUUGAAACUGGCAGACUAGAGUACUGUAGAGGGGGUAGAAUUUCAGGUGUAGCGGUGAAAUGCGUAGAGAUCUGAAGGAAUACCGGUGGCGAAGGCGGCCCCUGGACAGAUACUGACACUCAGAUGCGAAAGCGUGGGAGCAAACAGGAUUAGAUACCCCGUGGUAGCGACUGA
This 472-nucleotide ribosomal RNA is filed under the name uncultured bacterium. RNAcentral's name for it is "bacterial SSU rRNA". It matches the Rfam family "Bacterial small subunit ribosomal RNA", at positions 335 to 803 of the family's 1533-position model. The record is from RNAcentral.